GUGAUACUCAAAAUGGGGGUGCUUGCCGUUUUAUACGACUGGAAAGUGCUCCCAUUUCGAGCGUCCC
Molecule: microRNA precursor, 67 nt
Filed under: Tursiops truncatus (common bottlenose dolphin)
Lineage: Eukaryota; Metazoa; Chordata; Mammalia; Artiodactyla; Delphinidae
Description: miRNA (ENSTTRG00000022110.1)
Source: RNAcentral